CUGUAAGCCUGUGAAGGUGGCCUGUGAGGGUUGCUGGAGGUAUCAGAAGUGCGAAUGCUGACAUAAGUAACGAUAAAGCGGGUGAAAAGCCCGCUCGCCGGAAGACCAAGGGUUCCUGUCCAACGUUAAUCGGGGCAGGGUGAGUCGACCCCUAAGGCGAGGCCGAAAGGCGUAGUCGAUGGGAAACGGGUUAAUAUUCCCGUACUUGGUGUUACUGCGAAGGGGGGACGGAGAAGGCUAUGUUGGCCGGGCGACGGUUGUCCCGGUUUAAGCGUGUAGGUGUGUGUUCCAGGUAAAUCCGGUUCACUUUAACACUGAGGCGUGAUGACGAGGCACUACGGUGCUGAAGCAACAAAUGCCCUGCUUCCAGGAAAAGCCUCUAAGCAUCAGGUAACAUCAAAUCGUACCCCAAACCGACACAGGUGGUCAGGUAGAGAAUACCAAGGCGCUUGAGAGAACUCGGGUGAAGGAACUAGGCAAAAUGGUGCCGUAACUUCGGGAGAAGGCACGCUGACAUGUAGGUGAAGUGAUUUACUCA
RNAcentral lists this ribosomal RNA (538 nucleotides) under Salmonella enterica. RNAcentral's name for it is "partial 23S ribosomal RNA". It matches the Rfam family "Bacterial large subunit ribosomal RNA", at positions 1241 to 1773 of the family's 2925-position model. RNAcentral also lists the same sequence under 1 other name. Lineage: Bacteria; Pseudomonadati; Pseudomonadota; Gammaproteobacteria; Enterobacterales; Enterobacteriaceae. The record is from RNAcentral.